Molecule: non-coding RNA, 2018 nt
Organism: Amborella trichopoda
Lineage: Eukaryota; Viridiplantae; Streptophyta; Magnoliopsida; Amborellales; Amborellaceae
Source: RefSeq, a predicted model, not a curated record
AGCAGCUCAAUUGAUUUUGAAAGGUUCAUGAAAUAAUGUAUCAAAUUUUACAGUGAAGAUGGAGUAUUGGGGUUAGGGAAGCGAAAUAUGUAUUCUAGUAUCGAACGAUUCUGAAAACGGAGCUUCUUGCACAUAGCACCUUGAAGUGGAAAAUGCAGUCUGUGACACCAUUCUCUUUUGUUGAUUGAACUUAUUCAGUAAAUUUUGUUGAUUAAGAGCAUUGGGUUGACUAUUUUAUUUUUUCUCACUCAGCUCAGCUUAUAUAGGCUUGGAUCGGCUUGGCUUGGCUUACUUCGGCUCAGCUCGGCUCUGCUCGGCUUGGACAAAUAUCGGCUCGGCUCAGAUAGACUUGCUAGGCUUUUAUCGGCUAAUUUCGGCUAAAAGCAGUGAAAAUUUAAUUCAACCAAGCCGACAUGAGCCAAGCUAAGCCCAUAAAAGUUGAGUCGCGUCGAUAUAAACUGAGUUAAGCCAACAGAAGCUAAGCCGAGCCGUUUUAAGCCGAGCUGAGCCAAGUGUAGCUGAGCCGAGUCGAGUUGAGUCGCGCCGAUAUAAACUGAGUUAAGCCGACACAAGCUAAGCCGAGCCGUUUUAAGCCGAGCUGAGCCAAGUGUAGCUGAGCCGAGUCGAGUGUAGCUGAGCCGAGCCGAGUGUAGCUGAGCCGAGCUGUACUGUAUGAGCCAAAGGAAUAAAAAUAGAUCCACACAUUUUGCAAACCAUCUUUCUCUCUCUUACCACGAACCAUUUGUUUCUCAACAAUCACCGCUCAUGGGGGACUGAAGACCGUUUUUGCUGAAAGGCUGCUAUAUAGGGCAUUAAAACUUACUUAGCAAGCCGCUCUAGUGAGAGAAAAGAGGAGCUCUUAUCUGGUUAUGGAUGUGAAACCUGGCAAGGCCAUCCUUGGAAGUCCUCAAUGAAGCAUACGAUAAAUGUCGCAAGGAGGGGUGUAAGAGUGAAGUAGUGGAGGGAGAGAAGCCUUGUCCAAUGAUGCGUCUGUCAACUGAACAUUCCAACUGCUAGUGAUGUGGACCUCACCUUGUUGUGCAGCAGCUCAAGUGAUUUUGAAACUUUUGGUUCAUGAAAUAAUGCAUCAAAUUUUAUGGUGAAGAUGGAGGAUUGGGGUCGUCAAUAUGUGUUAAAAGGCUUAUCAUCUUAAACAAGGGAGUCUAAAGUGAAAAUAGUCAAGCCUUUUGGAAGAAGAUGAAACAUAAAGCUAGAAGAUGCAUGAAGCUUUUCUCAUAAUCACAUUGAUAAAGUUGGUGAAAUUUUUGUUGGGAUUGGAAUCUAAAAGCUCCACAAGUGCCUGAAUUCUCAUUCAAGAGAAUUGAGGUUUGAUAUUCAAACCCGCAAUCCUUUCAGGAGAGGUGCAACUAUGUAGUAGAAGACCCUAAACAGCCUCCCUAUUCUUCAAGCUACCAUUAAUCCAUUCCAGAUAUCUACAACAGAUACAAGAACCAGAUUGUAAAGGAUCAAAGGUAUUUGUAUACUGAAGAAUAGGGGAUUACUCAUGUAAGAUUUCCAUUGGCAAAGAUGAUGACAGCAUGUUGCAAAGGCAACACCUCUCAGGCUGCAAUUGUCUCAUGUCUAUUAUGUUGCUGAGUGUGGCAGCACCGUAAGGUAAAGUCUGCAAGCACAAUUUUAAUAUGAAAUAAAGAAUGCCGUGAAUUACCGAAGCCAAUAAUACUGACAAAGUUAUCUUCACAUGCAUUUCCUAGUUAAUUAUUGGGUGACAAACUGAAUUUGCCAACCUAUGGUAGGACCACAUAAAUGUUUCUCAAUUGCAAGGUAAGAAAUACCCCCUAAAGUCUACACAUUAUUCAAGUCCAAAUCAUCAACUGCAAUAGUUAAGUUAGACAUUAGAUGCGCAAGGGGGAUGUAAAUUGACAGUAUUCAAUAAAUACAUCUAUACAUGUAAUGUUAAAUAUUGUCUGCUUAUCAUGUUAAAUGUGUUAGAAAACCAAAUGAGCUCCCAUUAAAGAUAGCCUUCAUUAGUUUAAUAGUGAUUAUGUAUGGAACUCAAG